GCCCGAGUGGCGCAAUGGUAGCGCACCCGACUUGUAAUCGGGUGGUUAGUGGGUUCGAAUCCCCUCUCGGGCUCCA
This 76-nucleotide transfer RNA is filed under the name Chloroflexota bacterium. RNAcentral's name for it is "Chloroflexi bacterium (marine sediment metagenome) tRNA-Thr". It matches the Rfam family "tRNA". Rfam says of the family: Transfer RNA (tRNA) molecules are approximately 80 nucleotides in length. Their secondary structure includes four short double-helical elements and three loops (D, anti-codon, and T loops). Further hydrogen bonds mediate the characteristic L-shaped molecular structure. tRNAs have two regions of fundamental functional importance: the anti-codon, which is responsible for specific mRNA codon recognition, and the 3' end, to which the tRNAs corresponding amino acid is attached (by aminoacyl-tRNA synthetases). tRNAs cope with the degeneracy of the genetic code in two manners: having more than one tRNA (with a specific anti-codon) for a particular amino acid; and 'wobble' base-pairing, i.e. permitting non-standard base-pairing at the 3rd anti-codon position. Lineage: Bacteria; Bacillati; Chloroflexota. The record is from RNAcentral.